This 117-nucleotide ribosomal RNA is filed under the name uncultured bacterium. RNAcentral describes it as "partial 16S ribosomal RNA". It matches the Rfam family "Bacterial small subunit ribosomal RNA", at positions 1357 to 1482 of the family's 1533-position model. The record is from RNAcentral.
AUACGGUGAAUACGUUCCCGGACCUUGUACAUACCGCCCGUCAAGCCAUGGAAGCUGGGUGUACCUAAAGUCGGUAACCGUAAGGAGCCGCCUAGGGUAAAACUAGUAACUGGGGCU